UGGGGUUUUUCGCCUCCGUUUAAAGCGCCCAAAGGCUACAUCCCCCCUAACCCGAGAGCCUAAGAGAAGAGACCCCCCUUUAUUCCCUUUGGAAUCGGUCUUAAACCACAGAGCCAGGGUUCCGGUGACGUGACUUUGGGGUUUGGGGUAAGUCUCAUUUUCACUUUUCUUCUUAUUUUUUUGUCUAAAACAAACUUGAAAAUAGAAAAAGAAAAAAAAAGUAAAAUAGAAUAGAAAUCAGGAGAUAAAAAGAGAAGAUCAGAUUCAACCUUUUUUUUAUUGCUUAAAUCGCGUGUAAAAACCAAAAUACAUUGAUCUUUCUGGCUUUUAUAGCCGAAUAAAACUUCCUAUUCUACUGUUUAUUUCACUAUUGGUGUUGUUCAUGAUUUUGCUUAUGCUACUAUUUCUAUAAUCCUUGUUUCUGUCUUUCUUUUUUCUUUUUGCAGGGUCGGCGCUUAGACAACUAAGGGGAGAAGGGUUUCUUUUUCCAUUUCGGUGCAAACUUACAGACGAGCCUCGGGACGAGGUACGGGCGACGUGGCCGAGGAGGGCAUAGGUGCGGCGCACAUAAAAUUAGGGUUUAGGCUUUUCUAAAAAAAUGUUUAGGUACAUGGGCUUGUUAUCUUUGGACUAAGUUUUUAGUUUUGGGUCUGCAGAAAUUUAGAAUUGUGUUUUGGACUCUGGACUGGUAAUUUUUAUAUUUGGGCUUUUUGUUUGGGCUGGUUAAUGAUUUUGGGCUCGGGUAAAUUUGGGUUUUUACAUUUACCAAUGAGCAGGCAACAUUAGUAGUGACCUCAAAUAGCAGCCUUUUUUAUAGAACAGUUGAAACUUAAAUAUAUUAAGCAACAAGAAUAGUUCCUUAUGUUAAAUUUAGAUAAUAAGUAUAUGGCAUUUCUUUGAAGCUUUUGGCAGUGCACAUAUAUUUUUACUCAUCAUUCUCUGCUCUCUCUUUGGCACGCUUUUGAUCUCUACCGUCAAACUCUCUAAAACCCCUGCCUUCUUGAAAAGAUACUCCACCAAUUGAAACUCUAUAUUCUUUCUUUUCAAUGCAAAAACUUGAUUGCCUUGAUAUGAUGCCGAAAACAAGAGGGAUAUUUCUUCGGUGUACGCCAAUCUACGGGAUCAACGUCCUGAAAAACAAGACCAAAACAUAUAUAGCUACAACGAAACUAGUUCAAGACUGCAAUAAUAUGUAUAUAUGCAAUUUCUUUCCUUAAUUCGUACCUCCAAUUCAAAAGCAAGGGUUUCAAGACAUGGACAUCUAACAAGCAUGUUUUCCCAUCCAGCAUUGCAGGUACCAAUCUUCAAAAAGGUCAGGUUUGGAAAUUCGGGAAUCAGACUGGGCCUCUGUAGCAUAGCUUGAAUCUGAAAAAGGAAGGUUGGUUAUAGUUAAGUCACUUAGUCAAUGUUUUUUCUUUUUUUACUAGAAAAUGAAAUCCAGAAUUUUUUUUUUUUGGUACCCCUGAGCAAAUACCGGUUAAAUGAAAUGAUUGAACACAACUGAGUGCUCUCAUCACAUCAAAUACCGAAUCAGUGACAUUGCAGUAGUUUGAAGACAUGGCUAUAAAUCCAAUAUAAAUGCGUGCUUCUGAAAGAGAGUUUAGGUUUCUGAGUGAGAGCCUUGUUUCUUUACAGUAGACGCAGCCGAAAUCAAAGAAGACCAGAUUCGGGGUGUCAAUCUCCACUUCACAACUAGGGGCAAUAAAACCACCACUUAUGGUUAGCCUCUUAAGUGUAGGAUGGCAAACACUGAGUUUGUUUAGGUUGCUGAGUUCACAUGAUUGAACAAGCAAUUCCUCCAG
RNAcentral lists this long non-coding RNA (1802 nucleotides) under Gossypium barbadense (sea-island cotton). RNAcentral's name for it is "long non-coding RNA (GBAR_LNC012827)". The record is from RNAcentral. Lineage: Eukaryota; Viridiplantae; Streptophyta; Magnoliopsida; Malvales; Malvaceae.